RNAcentral lists this ribosomal RNA (253 nucleotides) under uncultured bacterium. RNAcentral's name for it is "partial 16S ribosomal RNA". It matches the Rfam family "Bacterial small subunit ribosomal RNA", at positions 524 to 776 of the family's 1533-position model. The record is from RNAcentral.
CACGUAGGGCGUGAGCGUUGUCCGGAAUUAUUGGGCGUAAAGAGCUCGUAGGCGGCCUGUUGCGUCCGCUGUGAAAGCCCGGGGCUUAACCCCGGGUCUGCAGUGGAUACGGGCAGGCUAGAGGUAGGUAGGGGAGAAUGGAAUUCCCGGUGUAGCGGUGAAAUGCGCAGAUAUCGGGAGGAACACCGGUGGCGAAGGCGGUUCUCUGGGCCUUACCUGACGCUGAGGAGCGAAAGCGUGGGGAGCGAACAGG